This 253-nucleotide ribosomal RNA is filed under the name uncultured bacterium. RNAcentral's name for it is "partial 16S ribosomal RNA". It matches the Rfam family "Bacterial small subunit ribosomal RNA", at positions 524 to 776 of the family's 1533-position model. The record is from RNAcentral.
UACGGGGGGGGCAAGCGUUGUUCGGAAUUACUGGGCGUAAAGGGCUCGUAGGCGGCCAACUAAGUCGGACGUGAAAUCCCCAGGCUCAACCUGGGAACUGCGUCCGAUACUGGAUGGCUUGAAUCCGGGAGAGGGAUGCAGAAUUCCAGGUGUAGCGGUGAAAUGCGUAGAUAUCGGGAGGAACACCAGUGGCGAAGGCGGCGACCUGGGCCAAUACUGACGCUGAGGUGCGAAAGCGUGGGGAGCAAACAGG